Molecule: long non-coding RNA, 1303 nt
Filed under: Anser cygnoides (Swan goose)
Lineage: Eukaryota; Metazoa; Chordata; Aves; Anseriformes; Anatidae
Description: lncRNA (ENSACDG00005013911.1)
Source: RNAcentral
AGUUGUAGGUUUAAUUCGAUCAAUAUAAGAUGUUCCGUUUUUAGUUAAAUAAUAUUAAAAAUGAAAAGAAACCCCAAACACACCCUACAUCAUUUAUACAUUGGUCAAUGAGACAGAGUAACUGACGUUAUCUCCGCACGUUCUUGCCACUUCUUCGCGUGUCUCGUGGGAGGCCAUCUGGGUACCAGCUGAGCACGUCUGGAUGGUUGCAGUUCCCAUUCACGGCAAUUGCCACGCUGUAAAUGCUGCUGCCAUCUGUGGGUGACCUGUCUGACCUCUGAGAAAUUUGUGCCAACAGCAGUGCAAAGCCAGUAUGGAGAUGGGGAAAAAAAAUAAUUUAAGUUGCCGUUGUCUCUCUGAAGCCAGUAGUAUUUUUUUUUAUUUUCUUUUUCUUUGAGGAAAGGUAUGUCACUACAUAAAUGGUAAAGUGUCCAGCCUUCAGCCCCUGUGCCACUCUGCUGCUUUCUGACAUGCUCCUGAGUGUGAUAUUAUUAAGGCAUAUAGACAUGCAAGAGCACGACCCUUAACAUGAUGCUGGCUUUUUACAGAGGCUGUGGCUCUGGUCUAAGACGAGCACGUAGAGCAGGGUUUAACUGGAUGGGUACAGCAGGCUGACUGCAAACCAUGCCAUGGCUCCAACCAGGGAAAAGCUGCUGGAUCUUUGGGCCCUGCGUGCUGGUACCAAAGAGCAGUGCUGAAACAAGCCCUCCAAUUUCCAAUGCGUGGAAGUUCUUGCUGCCCCGACUUUUCAGCUUCUGACCUAGCCCUGGAAAUCAGGUAUCAUACGAGACCAGACCUAGAGAGUGUCUGCUCCCUUGACGGGAUCUGAGAACCCCUGGUUUUAUGUAAUAUGUCUCUUCAAAUCUAGAUUGUUAAGUGGCAUAGGCUUGGGGGCGGGGAUAGGGGCGGAAGGGAAUUGGUCUCAACAUAAUUUUUUAUUCCAAUAUAAAACUUCUUGCUUUUACUAUUUAAAAUUUUUCUUUGCCAGUGGCUGACUAGCUUGAAGUCUUUGAAACACUGAGCUUUCUAUAAAAUCCAAAUAAUUCUCUGUAAAUCAAAGUACUUGGCAUGCUUGCUGCAAAGCCUGAAGGUUUUUUUUUCCUUUUUUUUUUUUUUUUUUAAGGUAAUCUCUAGAAAGUAGUUUGUACUCAUGUUUUCACAGUGAUUAAAUAUGCAAAGUAAUUUUCAUGAUUAUCACCCCGUUCUGAACCAAAUCAGAUGCGGCUAUGCUUCUCUUUGUACAAAGCCAGUUAUUGGAUCAGAUUCCAAAACAAAUCCCCUGAAUUUGGCGGAUCAUCAUUUU